GGGGAUAUGAUGGAAUUGGUAGACGUAACGGACUUAAAAUCCGUUGGUUCUUUGAACCGUGAGGGUUCAAGUCCCUCUAUCCCCA
RNAcentral lists this transfer RNA (85 nucleotides) under Neglectella solitaria. Its description in RNAcentral is "tRNA-Leu". It matches the Rfam family "tRNA". From Rfam's summary of the family: Transfer RNA (tRNA) molecules are approximately 80 nucleotides in length. Their secondary structure includes four short double-helical elements and three loops (D, anti-codon, and T loops). Lineage: Eukaryota; Viridiplantae; Chlorophyta; Trebouxiophyceae; Chlorellales; Oocystaceae. The record is from RNAcentral.